ACAGAGGCUAGAGUCAUGCUUGGGUAUUGGUUCUGUCCUUGGUGUGCCAGAGUCCUCGAAGAGUAACUGCUGACCUUAGUCACUGGCUGUGGACCUCAUGGCACAGUCAGUCAACAGGUUAGUGACAUGC
Nannospalax galili (Upper Galilee mountains blind mole rat) is the source of this 130-nucleotide small nucleolar RNA. NCBI's taxonomy places the organism in Eukaryota, Metazoa, Chordata, Mammalia, Rodentia, Spalacidae. The record is from Ensembl.